Molecule: ribosomal RNA, 222 nt
Filed under: uncultured bacterium
Lineage: Bacteria
Description: partial 16S ribosomal RNA
Rfam family: Bacterial small subunit ribosomal RNA
Source: RNAcentral
CGUAGGUAACCUGCCUGGUAGCGGGGGAUAACUAUUGGAAACGAUAGCUAAUACCGCAUAACAGUAGAUGUUGCAUGACAUUUGCUUAAAAGUGCAAUUGCAUCACUACCAGAUGGACCUGCGUUGUAUUAGCUAGUUGGUGGGGUAACGGCUCACCAAGGCGACGAUACAUAGCCGACCUGAGAGGGUGAUCGGCCACACUGGGACUGAGACACGGCCCAG